AGAGUUUGAUCAUGGCUCAUAGCGAACGCUGGCGGCGGGCUUAAGACAUCGCAAGUCGAGCGGGCGUAGCAAUACGUCAUCGGCAGACGGGUGAGUAACGCAGAGCGAACAUACCUUUUGGUUCGGAACAACCUAGGGAAACUUGUUCUAAUAUCGGAUAAGCCCUUACGGGGAGAGAUUUAUCGGCCUAAAGAUUGACCCGCGUCUGAUUAGCUAGGUGGUGAGGUAAUGGCUCACCAAGGCGACGAUCAGUAGAUGGACUGAGAGGAUGAUCAGACACAUUGGGACUGAGACACGGACCAAACUCCUACGGGAGGCAGCAGUGGGGAAUAUUGGACAAUGGGCGCAAGCCUGAUCCAGCCAUGCCGCGUGAGUGAUGAAGGCCCUAGGGUUGUAAAGCUCUUUUGUGCGGGAAGAUAAUGACGGUACCGCAAGAAUAAGUCCCGGCUAACUUCGUGCCAGCAGCCGCGGUAAUACGAAGGGGGCUAGCGUUGCUAGUAAUCAGCGGGCGUAAAGGGUGAGUAGGCGUGUCUUUAAGUCAGGGGUGAAAUCCUGGAGCUCAACUCCAGAACUGCCUUUGAUACUGAAGAUCUUGAGUUCGGGAGAGGUGAGUGGAACUGCGAGUGUAGAGGUGAAAUUCGUAUAUAUUCGCAAGACACAUCCAGUGGCAAGGCGAGCUCACUGGCCCGAUACUGACGCUGAUGCACGAAAGCGUGGGGAGCAAACAGGAUUAGAUACCCCCGUAGUCC
This 749-nucleotide ribosomal RNA is filed under the name uncultured bacterium. RNAcentral's name for it is "bacterial SSU rRNA". It matches the Rfam family "Bacterial small subunit ribosomal RNA", at positions 8 to 796 of the family's 1533-position model. The record is from RNAcentral.